RNAcentral lists this transfer RNA (74 nucleotides) under bacterium. Its description in RNAcentral is "tRNA-Trp". It matches the Rfam family "tRNA". From Rfam's summary of the family: Transfer RNA (tRNA) molecules are approximately 80 nucleotides in length. RNAcentral also lists the same sequence under 5 other names. The record is from RNAcentral.
AGGGUAGUAGCACAAUGGCAGUGCAGCGGUCUCCAAAACCGCCUAUGGGGGUUCGAUUCCCUCCUACCCUGCCA